GAAAACACGUUGAUGAGACGAGUAAGAUGUGAAAGGAUACAGAGAGAGAGGUCGCAGGCUGGAAGCCUCUUAUUGCGGAAACAUCUGAAAACUACCUCGGAGUGGCUGCAAAACAGUCCGGUGAUUCCGUUAUAAUCAGUUGAGUGGUUCUGGUAUUUGCCAGUACAAUUUGGGUGGAACCGCGAGUAAAGAGAACUCGUCCCUUGU
RNAcentral lists this non-coding RNA (207 nucleotides) under Faecalimonas nexilis. RNAcentral's name for it is "Clostridium nexile T-box sequence". It matches the Rfam family "T-box leader". Rfam says of the family: Uncharged tRNA acts as the effector for transcription antitermination of genes in the T-box leader family. T-boxes are found upstream of many aminoacyl-tRNA synthetase genes and some amino acid biosynthetic genes usually in Gram-positive bacteria. The record is from RNAcentral. Lineage: Bacteria; Bacillati; Bacillota; Clostridia; Lachnospirales; Lachnospiraceae.